RNAcentral lists this long non-coding RNA (1556 nucleotides) under Homo sapiens (human). RNAcentral describes it as "HSALNT0342669". Lineage: Eukaryota; Metazoa; Chordata; Mammalia; Primates; Hominidae. The record is from RNAcentral.
UCUGAGUUUAAAUUACUAUUAUAUUCAGGAGUCCCACACCCACUGUUUCCAAACAUAGCUCUUUUUAUAACAACUUCUGACAAUCCUCUAGAGAACAAAAAUUCACUUUUAAUCAAAGUUAAAUGCUAGAACUGUUUCCUGGGAAAUUUAAUUCAAGGUAAACAAUCUACUUGAUAUUGUCUUAUUCACACAAAGCUGUGUUGUUAGAAGAAAUGAUAAUGAAAUAUAAAACCUUUCUCUUCUAGGUUAUUGUUUACAAUCUGGACAAAGCUGAUAGGCAAAAGAAAGCAGAGAAAGCCAAUGUGAAAGGAAUGUGUAGGAUUAGUCACGCUUCUUCCCAGAAGAUAGAUGUUGACCAGUAAGACUAUCAGUUACUAAACACAGCCCUCUCAUUCUACACCCCUAACACAAUCUCUUAAAAAAGAAAUUACAACUUCCAAUCUCCAUUUGUCAAGUAUCUUGAAUUUAAAUAUACAGGUCUUCACAAAUAUGAACUAAAAUUCAACAAAGUUUUGUCUACUAUGUGCUGGACACUAAUAGGAUAAAAAUGACUAGGAAACACUUCUUGCCUCAGAGGAACUUUGCAUGCAAAUGACAACAUUACUUGGCAACAAAAGAAUGUGGACACAAUGUGAAAUCAAGCCGGGGUCCAGCAGUUAGAAUCAGCCCUUCCUUGACUACACCAGGGACAUACUACUACAAAUCAUUCUGUCUUAUACCCCAGCAUCCAGCUAUCCUCUGGAAAUGCUUCUCCCUGAAGUUUACAUCCUUGCUUAGCUAUUUCACUCAUCUACUCCACGGCUAAUCCCUUCAUCUCUGCUUCUCAGAAAUGGCUCUUUCCAAUCCUCCCUUCCAAUCUCUACUCCACAAUUCUAGUGGCCCAGUCUCAAGCUUCCCCUCCAGUGCUCUCAUACCUUCUCAAAGCUGCAAUUCUAGUCCUGAAGAUCUAGGCAGGGGAAACUGGUACUCACACAUUACAUCAAGGAAAGACCUCAGAGGUACACACACCAGUGGAGAUACCAUAGGUUCAGUUCCAGAUCACCUCAAUAAACUUUCAAGUCACUUAGCCUGCUCCAGUCUCCAAGAUAUACAUUAUUUUUCCAAUAAAUCAAUAAAUAAAAUUGGUAUUUUUGACUACUUCUUAGUAUAAAUCUUGUCUUUGUAUCAACAAAUGUUCGAGUGCAUUUUCAUUGUAUGACUAAAUUUCUAUUAAAAAUGUAAAUAAUUUCUGCUUACUCUAUCGAGUCUUUAAUUAAAAGUGGUUUUUAAAGAGUCAAAAGACUUUGAUCAAUUUUUAUAGAAUGCACCAGGGCACGGUGGUUCACGCCUGUAAUCCCAGCACUCUGGGAGGCUGAGGCAGGUGGGUCACUGGAGGUCAGGAGUUUGUGACUAGCCUGGGCAACAUGGUGAAACCCCAUCUCCACCAAAAAAUACAAUUUAGCUGGGCGUGAUGGCGUGCGCCUGUACUCCCCAGCUACUCAGGAGGCUGAGGCAGGAGAAUCACUUGAACUUGGGAGGCAGAGGUUGCAGUGAGCCAAGAUCAUGCCACUGCACUC